UAUUGGUGUCUUAGACCAACAUAUUGGUCUCUCAGAGCCUUAUAGACAGAACCCCAACUUCUGGUUCUCCUCCUGCAAUGUAUCUCACCUUCAAUUUUCCCUGCAGUUAGGAUGCUUCCCUUUCUCUCAUCUGUCCCCCAGUCUCAUCUCCUUUGGGACAUCACACCGAUUUCCUUAGCAGCCAGCCCUGUGGUGGUUUAGAGCCCUAUGGACUGUGAUCUCUAGAUAGUGCUCUUGUGGGUCUGAUAAGGAUUUAUUUGCUCUUUAUGGGGAGGAAUGUGUGAAAAAAUAGCACCAUUUAUUACCACAACAUCAUUUAAGCACUCAUGUUCCAGACUCAGUGACUAAAUGCUGGUUAGUUUGUAUAAUUCCCAGAAAAGAUUCUAUGAAGUGGGAACUAAUAUUACCUCCACAUCACCAGGAGAGAGGAUAUUGAGGCACAGAAUGGCCAAGGAGUUCAACCAGUGUCCCAGUUAAUUAUGCUUAAGUAGUUUGGCUGGUCCCAGAGUUGAUUAUGACGUUUAAACCCACGAAGUCUGAGCUGGCCGAGCACUUACUGUGAGCUUGGGUGAUGGUCAUCACCGGGGUGCACACCAGGUGUGUGCGCGCCCCAUGAAGUACCUGGCUACUUGCCCUAACGUUGUCCGCCCGAGGCACCCUGCAUCUGCUCUCCGCCUCGGCGGGCCUCACUUAACUUGGAUGCGCUGAGACAAAGACCUCUUGUGCCUCAUGUGCCAGGCACGUGGUGCAUCUGUGACCAAUGCGAGUGCGGCCUCCACGUGCAGCCCGAGGGCCCAUCCGUGGCAGAAGCCCCUCCCCGGGGUCUAUUAACUGACGGCCUGAGGGGGAGAAGUGGAGAGAAAUGCUGUGUUUUAGCUCAUGGGCUGCACGACCACAGCUCUGACCCUGGUUGGGAGACGGUGGCCACGCUGAAACCCACCUUUCCACGACCCAGCGCAGGUGCUCCUGACCUCUUCCAAGGACCCCCCCCCUCCCCAGGCAGGCCAGGGAACAGGGGUCUGGGGUAAGUGGCAGAGCCUAGACAUGGUUUAUACCCACCGGGGGCCUAGACUGCCGCGACAUCAGGAAGCCACACAGUGGCAGGGUUCCUUUUCCAGUGCUCAAUUGCUCUCAUGGCCCAGCUUUUGCUAAAGCUGCUCCAGCUUCGUUCGUUUGGCUCUGCUCACACUGGGUGCCAGACUCUCGCUGAAGUCUUCAGCGUUACUUGUGGUAAGUGUAAGACUAUCUGGAAUUUGUACAGCAACUUGCCUCCGUCUCAACAAUAAGCCUUGGCUCGCCAAUGCAGCCAGGGGCCCAGCACGGCCCUUGCGCACCUUGUUCUCCACACUGCUAGGAUUCAGGGGCCAAGCUCCUCUCCCAGACUCCUCUUCCUGGGGAAGAUGAGAAAUUUGUUACCUAAGUUCAAGGGGGUAGGAACUUGGCAUAGAACAUUAGCUGCACUUAGUGUGGAUAAGCAAUAUUUCAACAAAUAGAAGUUUUUGACAUCUUAAUACUAACAGGCCAUUAAGGAGAGAAGUUUUUAGACUCUGCUAACCCUCUAAAAGUUACACAUUAGGGCAUUUUACCUGAGUGCUUCCUUUCUUCAGAUAUGCAAACUAGUGAGUGGAUUGGAGGAUUUGUUCUAAAAAUUUUUGAUUCUGGCAUCUCCAUAAACAGGUGAUUCAUAGUGUUACAGGGUUGCAGGAUUCUUGUCUCACGAGUGAAGAAUGAAUCUCCCCAGACACAAAAAGGUGAAGCGAAGUGAAAGUCCAUUAAGCGAAGGUGAGACCAGAAAGGAA
Long non-coding RNA from Vulpes vulpes (red fox), 1799 nucleotides. The record is from Ensembl. NCBI's taxonomy places the organism in Eukaryota, Metazoa, Chordata, Mammalia, Carnivora, Canidae.